Molecule: ribosomal RNA, 253 nt
Filed under: uncultured bacterium
Lineage: Bacteria
Description: partial 16S ribosomal RNA
Rfam family: Bacterial small subunit ribosomal RNA
Source: RNAcentral
UACGUAGGUGGCAAGCGUUGUCCGGAUUUACUGGGCGUAAAGAGCGCGCAGGCGGUCGUACAAGUCGCGUGUGAAAGCCCCCGGCUCAACUGGGGAGGGUCACGCGAUACUGUUCGACUCGAAGGCAGGAGAGGGAAGCGGAAUUCCCGGUGUAGUGGUGAAAUGCGUAGAUAUCGGGAGGAACACCAGUGGCGAAGGCGGUUUCCUGGCCUGUUCUUGACGCUGAGGCGCGAAAGCUAGGGUAGCAAACGGG